Molecule: non-coding RNA, 477 nt
Filed under: Diaphorina citri (Asian citrus psyllid)
Lineage: Eukaryota; Metazoa; Arthropoda; Insecta; Hemiptera; Psyllidae
Description: Eukaryotic large subunit ribosomal RNA
Rfam family: Eukaryotic large subunit ribosomal RNA
Source: Rfam by way of RNAcentral
CCCGGUGGAUUUAAGCAUAUCGAUAAGCGGAGGAAAAGAAACUAACGAGGAUUCCCCCAGUAGCGGCGAGCGAAGAGGGAAGAGCCCAGCACCGAAUCCCCGGAGCCGAGUGCUUCGUCGAGGAAAUGUGGUGUUCGAGUGGUCCCGCUUAUCCUGGGCGAUUCGGCCGGUGCGUUCAAGUCCACCUUGAAAGGGGCCACGGCCCAGAGAGGGUGCCAGGCCCGUAGAGACCGCUGCGCCCGCCCAGGAGGGGUCCACUCUAGAGUCGGGUUGCUUGGAAAUGCAGCCCUAAGCAGGUGGUAAACUCCAUCUAAGGCUAAAUACGACCACGAGACCGAUAGCGAACAAGUACCGUGAGGUAAAGUUGAAAAGAACUUUGAAGAGAGAGCUCAGCGAGUACGUGAAACCGUUCGGGGGUAAACGAACGAGACCCGAUGAACGCGUCGGCGAGGACUCAGUUUCGUGUCGGACCCGCGG